GAUGAACGCUAGCGGCAGGCCUAAUACAUGCAAGUCGAACGAUACCAGAGAGCUUGCUUUCUGGGAAAGUGGCGCACGGGUGCGUAACGCGUAUGCAACCUACCUUAAUCAGGGGGAUAGCCUCUCGAAAGAGAGAUUAACACCGCAUAACAUCAUUUUACGGCAUCGUAGAAUGAUCAAAUAUUUAUAGGAUUAGGAUGGGCAUGCGUGACAUUAGCUAGUUGGUGAGGUAACGGCUCACCAAGGCUACGAUGUCUAGGGGAUCUGAGAGGAUGACCCCCCACACUGGUACGGAGACGCGGACCAGACUCCUACGGGAGGCAGCAGUAAGGAAUAUUGGUCAAUGGAGGCAACUCUGAACCAGCCAUGCCGCGUGCAGGAAGACGGCCCUAUGGGUUGUAAACUGCUUUUAUACGGGAAUAAACCUCUCUACGUGUAGGGAGUUGAAUGUACUGUAAGAAUAAGGAUCGGCUAACUCCGUGCCAGCCGCCGCAGUAA
Molecule: ribosomal RNA, 498 nt
Filed under: uncultured bacterium
Lineage: Bacteria
Description: partial 16S ribosomal RNA
Rfam family: Bacterial small subunit ribosomal RNA
Source: RNAcentral